UGUAAAUAGAAGGUUGUAUUUAGACUACACCGCUAUUGAAUCGUGUAAAUAGAAAAUUGUAUGUAGACUAAACCGCUAUUGAAUCGUGUAAAUAGAAGGUUGUGUGUAGACUUCACCACUAUUGAAUCGUGUAAAUAGAAGGUUGUAUGUAGACUUCACCGCUAUUGAAUCGUGUAAAUAGAAGUUUGUGUGUAGACUAAACCGCUAUUGAAUCGUGUGAAUAGAGGGUUGUAUGUAGACUUAACCGCUAUUGAAUCGUGUAAAUAGAAAGUUGUGUGUAGACUUCACCACUAUUGAAUCGUGUAAAUAGAAGGUUGUAUGUAGACUUCACCACUAUUGAAUCGUGUUAAUAGAAGGUUGUAUGUAGACUUCACCGCUAUUGAAUCGUGUUAAUAGAAGGUUGUAUGUAGACUUCACCGCUAUUCAAUCGUGUAAAUAGAAGUUUGUAUAUAGACUAAACCGCUAUUUUAUCGUGUAAAUAGAAGGUUUGUGUAGACUUCACCACUAUUGAAUCAUGUAAAUAGAAGGUUUUAUGAAGACUUCACCACUAUUGAAUCGCGUAAAUAGAAGGGUUAUGUAGACUUCACCGCUAUUGAAUCGUAGUUUUACAUGGACUAGGUAGACUUCACCGCUGUUAAAUCGAUGUUUUACAUGGACUACGUAGCAUUGUUUUUGAAUUCCCAAAAUAAUUUCUAUCUGUAAAUAUAAAGGUGUAAGUGGCAGUAUGUUUUCACUGUGUAAGUCAUUUCGAAUAACCAAAGUGUAAAUGCCUUAUUCACAUUACGUUUUCACGUUCAUAUAUUUCGUUUUAUCUUCAUACUCCCAUUAAAUUGUACCUAUGUUUCAAAUUGAAGAUAUCCCGCAACGCAAUAUACAUAAUGAUGCACGUGCAUAUUGGUAUAGCUGCAUUUGUAAAGAAUUUGUUUGCACAUGUAUAUUUGUAUUUUUAAAUGAUUUACAGCGGUAAAGGCAAAACGUGUUUUAAAUACCGUGUUGCCAUCAUGGUUAUGGUUUUGAUUUUAUAUACUGAGAUGUUAUUUCGUGCAUUACUGUAAAUUACAUAUUAUUAUUUCAUUUUAUUUCUUCAUUUCGGAUGAUCGUGUAAAUACGUUGUACAAAUAUUAAAUAACAUGCUAAUGGAAUGUAAAUGCAUUAAUACAUAAAUGUUGUUGUAAAUACAUAUUUUUUAUAACCUGUAUGCAAUUAUAUUAAUUUACAUUUAAUUUUAUUACAUUUAAUUACAACGUUAUUCUUGUAAGUUGAUUUUUUCAAAUAUAAGGAUCGAUUCAAGUUUGUAGAAACGGUUCUGAAUACCGUAAAAUACUAUUUGCUCCGAUUAAUGCAAUGAUGAAUAUAUUAAAUUAUGUAGAAACGGUUUUAAUUAUCAUAUUAUUUUUUCGCAAAACAUUAUAUAACUCUGACAAAACUUUACUUUAAGUAUAUGUUUUGGUUACGAGUUACAAUCAUGCAUUAUGUUAAUUACAAUUAUUUUAUGGCUCCUGACUAUUUGAAGCUCAAUUGGUAUUGGUUAUGUAUUUUAGUUUUGAUUUUUUAAUUUGUGAAAACUACAUUAUUUUUCAAAAAUAUUUUAUUUUUCAAUUCGUUGAUAGAUAUCCUUCAUAGAUGAAGGUUAAACGCUACUUGAAAAGCAUAAAUUGUCUCCCAAUACAAUCGACGUUUAUGCAUUAUUUAUUUUGUUUUUGCAUAUGUUGAUUGUGUUAAUAUAAUUGAAGUGUUACUGGAUUGUAAAUUAUUUGCAAUGUGAGAAUUGGCCAGCCACAAUAUGCUGUUCUAAUGAUGAUAAUACAUGCACAGCUUCUAUUGACCGAAAAUACAAAAUACACGGAUAGCUUUAUUGUAAGUUUGCCAAUUUGA
Dreissena polymorpha is the source of this 1875-nucleotide long non-coding RNA. RefSeq lists it as uncharacterized. The record is from RefSeq and is a predicted model, not a curated record. The transcript is spliced from 4 exons. Lineage: Eukaryota; Metazoa; Mollusca; Bivalvia; Myida; Dreissenidae.